UACGUAGGGGGCAAGCGUUGUCCGGAUUUAUUGGGCGUAAAGAGCGUGUAGGCGGCCAGGUAGGUCAGCUGUGAAAACUCGAGGCUCAACCUCGAGACGUCGGUUGAAACCACCUGGCUAGAGUCCGGAAGAGGAGAGUGGAAUUCCUGGUGUAGCGGUGAAAUGCGUAGAGAUCGGGAGGAACACCAGAGGCGAAGGCGGCUCACUGGACAGUCACUGACACUCAACUGCGAAAGCGUGGGGAGCAAACAGG
This 253-nucleotide ribosomal RNA is filed under the name uncultured bacterium. RNAcentral's name for it is "partial 16S ribosomal RNA". It matches the Rfam family "Bacterial small subunit ribosomal RNA", at positions 524 to 776 of the family's 1533-position model. The record is from RNAcentral.